AUGAAAAUCAUCAACUGGAACUACCCGGGGCUCGGGAAUGGCCCGACAGUUCGUUCUCUCCUCGAACUGGGGAGAGUGGAGGAUCCCGACGUACUAUUUUUGGCAGAGACAAGGCUAACAGAGAAGGAAUUCGAGAGAUUUCGCUGGAUGUUAGGGCUCGCUAAUACAGUGGCGGAGCUAGGAAUAAAGCAAACCCCGGGCCUAAUUUUUUUUCUCGGCAACAUGGAAAAACUUUGGCCUUAA
This 243-nucleotide ribosomal RNA is filed under the name Triticum aestivum (bread wheat). RNAcentral describes it as "partial small subunit ribosomal RNA". The record is from RNAcentral. Lineage: Eukaryota; Viridiplantae; Streptophyta; Magnoliopsida; Poales; Poaceae.